RNAcentral lists this long non-coding RNA (2483 nucleotides) under Pelobates cultripes (western spadefoot toad). The record is from RNAcentral. Lineage: Eukaryota; Metazoa; Chordata; Amphibia; Anura; Pelobatidae.
CAACAAUACUAUUGAAAGAAAUAGGAAUUCUCUUGCAGCCAAUAACCAUCCAUGGAAAUAAGGAUAAUGAGGGAACAAAAAUAAUAAGUGCACAGUGUCGCUAAAUAAAACUAGUGAUUAUGCAUAACAAAAAGAAUGUAAUAAAUAAAAGUAGAAUUCUGUGUCUGUGUUAAAUGACCUAUUGUGCUUUCAGGGGCACCUGUCCACUAAAUACUCAGUGGACAGGGGGCACUCUGAAGAGCCUGACGGGCACAACGCACGCGUCAGGGCUUGUCUACUGCCAAGUCUUCUGAUUACAUUAUUUAGCAACUUUCUUUCCCUCGUCUAGUUACUAGUACCAGCAAAGCUCAGGGAUUUUUAAAGGCAGUUUACACUAUUUAGUGGACAGGUGCCCUCGCAGGCACGAUGGGGCAUUUUAGACUUAGGCACAGAUCUUGAUUUUUCUCUAAGGUUCACCUUUAAUUUGUAAAUUAUUAUUCUUAAGGCUAUUCACUAGUUGUUUUCUUGUAGACACUGCACGUUAUUCCUCUUCUUUUUUUGUUUCUUAAUUAUCCUAAUCUCCCUGAGCUGGUAUUGGCUGGUUAUCAAUAUUAAGGCUGUUAAAAUCCAUCUAAGUUACAGAAGUUCUGGACCAACAAUCUUGAUAAUUUCAGCAUUCAGAAGUCUCCUAUUUGUUACAUAUUUUUCUGAAAGACUCAAUGAGUCACUAGCCCCAUAUCAAUCGGUGAUUAGACUGAGUUAUAGUGAUUCUUACUACUUUUUAGCUAUGCUGAUUAUUUAUUAAUAGUUUGGAUGUUUGUAAUAUUUUGAAGAAUACUAAUGAAAGUUAGAUUUUUUUUCCAUUUCUAAAGGAUCACUAUAGGGUCAGGAACACAAACAUAUAUUCCUGACCUUAUAGUGUUAACACCACCAUCUAGCCCACCUGGGCCCCUCAUGCCUCCAUAAAUAUAGUAAAAAUCUCACUGUAUUCAAGCCUGAAGCUGUAAAUCUGCAUGCUGUUAGACUCAGAAAAACAAGCAGUCUGCUGACAUGUGGUAGCCUGAUCCAAUCACAAUACUUCCCCAUAGGAUUGGCUGAGACUGACAAAGAGGCAGAUCAGGGGUUAGAGCCAGCAUGAUUCAAACACAGCCCUGGCCAAUCAGCAUCUCCUCAUAGAGAUGAAUUGAAUCAAUGAAUCUCUAUGAGGAAAGUUCUGUGUCUGCAUGCAGAGGGAGGAGAUACUGAAUCACAGGAUGCUGUGCACAGUGCUGCCCUGUGCUCUGCUGACAGCAGAUCUGAGUGGAUGGAGGCAUAUUAUGCCUCCGUCAACUCCAAAGUCCUUCUGUUUCACUCUGAGUGACUGCAACUAGAGGUGUUCCUAGCUUUCAAUGUAAGCACUGUAUUUUCUUAGAAAAUUCAGUGUUUACAUGAGAAAGGCUGCAGGGAGCUAUAGUUCUCACCUGAACAACCUCAUUAAGCUGAAGUCGUUCAGGUGACUAUAGAGUCCCUUUCAUUUUUUUCUCCUUUGGUAUUUCAUCUAUAGUGAGUAUUCCCAAUCUUUAAUUUUUUAGUAUUUACCUUGAUUAGUCCAAGUUUUUGUCAUUUAUAUAUAUAAAUACAGGCACAAGAUAUAAAGAUAUACAAAUGUAUGUCUCUUCAUAAAAUGUAGAUGCCUCCAUAUAGCGAUACAUGCAUUUACAAACUUCUAUAAAGAGACAUUUAGUAGCACAUGUCUAUAUGUUUCUAUAUAGAGGCACACAUGUCUAUAAAUGAAUGUCUUUCUAUUUAGGAAUAUGUAUGUAUAUGCCUCUAUGUAGAGAUGUAUGCUACUGCAUGCCUCUAUAUAAAGUGUAUGUUUGUGUAGAGGAAUAUAUUGUAGCCUAUGUUUCUAUAUAUAAGUGUAUGCCUGUAAAUGCCUUUAUAUAGAGAAUAUGCAUGUAUAUGCCAUCACAUAUAGACAUAUAUAUAUAUAUAGUAGAAUGUCUUGGUAAAGGUUAUAAAGGAUCACAUCAAAUCAUUAGCCUUACCUCUCCCACCCAUAUUUGAUUUUAUAAUCCCGUCCUUUACACAGUAUGCCCCCUAUAGGUGUACUGUCAUCAGCGGUCAUGGCACACUUUAAGCUGCUAAUCUGUAGGUACUAGUUCAUUGAAACAUUGUGUAAUUGACACGACCAUAAAUUGUAUAUCUCUUUAAGUAGAGGCAUAUACAUGCAUGCAGCUCUAUGUAUUUCCAUGCUUACGUCUUGAUUCAUGUGUUAUCAGUAUGCCUAUAUAGAGAUGUAUAAAUGCAUGUCUCUUUUUAAACACAUAAUCUCGCUAUAUAUAUAUGCUAGAGAAUAUAUCUGUAUGUGGAUACAUAUAUACAGUGUGAAUGCCAACAGAGUGAACAAGUCUAUCCAAUCUUAUUAAAUCAAGGCCUUGGUCCAUUUGCUGCAAUGCUAACGGGGAUACUUUGCAGUCUUUGUUCAUUGUGCAGUCCCAUCAUCACGUUCUGGACUGUGUAAG